This 421-nucleotide ribosomal RNA is filed under the name uncultured bacterium. RNAcentral's name for it is "bacterial SSU rRNA". It matches the Rfam family "Bacterial small subunit ribosomal RNA", at positions 53 to 467 of the family's 1533-position model. The record is from RNAcentral.
ACAUGCAAGUCGAACGGCAGCACAGGAGAGCUUGCUCUCUGGGUGGCGAGUGGCGGACGGGUGAGGAAUACAUCGGAAUCUACCUUUUCGUGGGGGAUAACGUAGGGAAACUUACGCUAAUACCGCAUACGACCUACGGGUGAAAGUGGGGGACCGCAAGGCCUCACGCGAUUAGAUGAGCCGAUGUCCGAUUAGCUAGUUGGCGGGGUAAUGGCCCACCAAGGCGACGAUCGGUAGCUGGUCUGAGAGGAUGAUCAGCCACACUGGAACUGAGACACGGUCCAGACUCCUACGGGAGGCAGCAGUGGGGAAUAUUGGACAAUGGGCGCAAGCCUGAUCCAGCCAUACCGCGUGGGUGAAGAAAGCCUUCGGGUUGUAAAGCCCUUUUGUUGGGAAAGAAAUCCUAUCGGUUAAUAACCGG